UACGUAGGGUGCGAGCGUUAAUCGGAAUUACUGGGCGUAAAGUGUGCGCAGGUGGCCGCGCAAGUCGAGUGUGAAAUCCCCCGAGCUUAACUUGGGAAUUGCGCUCGAAACUACGUGGCUCGAGUGUGGCAGAGGAAGGUGGAAUUCCACGUGUAGCGGUGAAAUGCGUAGAGAUGUGGAGGAACACCGAUGGCGAAGGCGGCUAUCUGGACAGAGUCUGACGCUGAGGCGCGAAAGCUAGGGGAGCAAACAGG
Molecule: ribosomal RNA, 254 nt
Filed under: uncultured bacterium
Lineage: Bacteria
Description: partial 16S ribosomal RNA
Rfam family: Bacterial small subunit ribosomal RNA
Source: RNAcentral